CUCAGAGUGAACGCUGGCGGCGUGCUUAACACAUGCAAGUCGAACGAUGAAGCUCUAGCUUGCUAGAGUGGAUUAGUGGCGCACGGGUGAGGAAUAUAUAGCUAAUGUGCCCCAUAGAGGGGGAUAACAGUUGGAAACGACUGCUAAUACCCCAUACUCCUUCUUCUCAUAAGGGAAGUCGGGAAAGUUUUUUCGCUAUGGGAUCGGGCUAUACGGUAUCAGCUUGUUGGUGAGGUAACGGCUCACCAAGGCUAUGACGCCUAUCUGGUCUGAGAGGAUGAUCAGACACACUGGAACUGAGACACGGUCCAGACUCCUACGGGAGGCAGCAGUGGGGAAUAUUACACAAUGGAGGCAACUCUGAUGUAGCAACGCCGCGUGGAGGAUGACACAUUUCGGUGCGUAAACUCCUUUUAUAUAGGAAGAUAAUGACGGUACUAUAUGAAUAAGCACCGGCUAACUCCGUGCCAGCAGCCGCGGUAAUACGGAGGGUGCAAGCGUUACUCGGAAUCACUGGGCGUAAAGCGCGCGCAGGCGG
This 538-nucleotide ribosomal RNA is filed under the name uncultured Campylobacterota bacterium. RNAcentral's name for it is "bacterial SSU rRNA". It matches the Rfam family "Bacterial small subunit ribosomal RNA", at positions 23 to 578 of the family's 1533-position model. Lineage: Bacteria; Pseudomonadati; Campylobacterota. The record is from RNAcentral.